This 1323-nucleotide ribosomal RNA is filed under the name Triticum aestivum (bread wheat). Its description in RNAcentral is "partial small subunit ribosomal RNA". The record is from RNAcentral. Lineage: Eukaryota; Viridiplantae; Streptophyta; Magnoliopsida; Poales; Poaceae.
AUGGCAUCCAAGUAUCCUAUGUUUACUGCUGACCAUACAGGAGCUGCAUCAUCAUCGUUGGUUUACGAAAAGUAUGAGAGCACUGAAGGCAAUGUUUUCAAGGAUGAUGCAAUUGACGUGAAGAGUUACAUACAGAUAAGGCAUGCGGUUGCUAUGGCGCCUAACAGUGCAGAGGCGGAGGGUAAAAUGGAGAUUCCAGGUGAAAUUGUUAACAGUAAGGCCUACAGGACUGCUACAGAAACUGGGAAGAAAAUUGGUAGAACAAUUCUCAAAGGAAUGCGGAAGAGUGAGCUUGCUGGUCUGUGUUACACUGAUUUCAGCAUUGCAGACGUUUUUGUCAGUACGUCUGGAAAGGCCAAGCUGAAAGGAGUCCGGCGCAUCAAGUUUUGUAUGACGCAGCAAUUUAACAACUAUGGCGCAGUGUGUGCAAUCAUGACGGAGCUAUUUACACUGAAUGGGCAGAUCCCAGCGGAAAUUCAACGUCUGAUUAAUCUCAUGCGAACAAGGUUUGACUUGAGAUUCAUGUAUCAUCUUCACGGAUCUUUAGUGCCCAUUGCUCGUUCUACUCUUUUGUACAAAACAUUAUAUGAGCAGCUAGAGAUAUCCACUAUGGACAAAGCAAGAAAGGACGUGAUUCUUUUGGGUCUCCCUCUCUUGUCUCAGUGGAAGGGGCUCGUAGCCACGAACUGGCUACUGAAGUGCACAUUUGACCACAAGCAGAAAGAGUACAAUGAUGGUUUGGGCAGAUAUACACGUCCCCCCCUCCCUCUAUGGCGCCUAACAGUGCAGAGGCGGAGGGUAAAAUGGAGAUUCCAGGUGAAAUUGUUAACAGUAAGGCCUACAGGACUGCUACAGAAACUGGGAAGAAAAUUGGUAGAACAAUUCUCAAAGGAAUGCGGAAGAGUGAGCUUGCUGGUCUGUGUUACACUGAUUUCAGCAUUGCAGACGUUUUUGUCAGUACGUCAGGCCAAGCUGAAAGGAGUCCGGCGCAUCAAGUUUUGUAUGACGCAGCAAUUUAACAACUAUGGCGCAGUGUGUGCAAUCAUGACGGAGCUAUUUACACUGAAUGGGCAGAUCCCAGCGGAAAUUCAACGUCUGAUUAAUCUCAUGCGAACAAGGUUUGACUUGAGAUUCAUGUAUCAUCUUCACGGAUCUUUAGUGCCCAUUGCUCGUUCUACUCUUUUGUACAAAACAUUAUAUGAGCAGCUAGAGAUAUCCACUAUGGACAAAAGCAAGAAAGGACGUGAUUCUUUUGGGUCUCCCUCUCUUGUCUCAGUGGAAGGGGCUCGUAGCCACGAACUGGCUACUGAAGUGCACAUUUGA